Gopherus evgoodei (Goodes thornscrub tortoise) is the source of this 136-nucleotide long non-coding RNA. RefSeq lists it as uncharacterized. The transcript is spliced from 4 exons. NCBI's taxonomy places the organism in Eukaryota, Metazoa, Chordata, Testudines, Testudinidae. The record is from RefSeq and is a predicted model, not a curated record.
UUCAAAGAACUCUAACAGAUUAGUAAGGCAUGAUUUCCCUUUACAGAAACCAUGUUGACUUUUGCCUAACAAUUUGUGUUCUUCUAGGUGUCUUACAAUUUUAUUCUUUACUAUUAACUCUGACCACAUGCUGCCC